GGGGCUGUGGCCAAGCCAGGAAUGGCGACGGGCUCCAGACCCGUCGAUCAGGGGUUCAAAUCCCUUCAGCCCCA
This 74-nucleotide transfer RNA is filed under the name Methanocella conradii HZ254. RNAcentral's name for it is "tRNA-Trp (CCA) (tRNA-Trp-CCA-1-1)". It matches the Rfam family "tRNA". From Rfam's summary of the family: Transfer RNA (tRNA) molecules are approximately 80 nucleotides in length. Their secondary structure includes four short double-helical elements and three loops (D, anti-codon, and T loops). Lineage: Archaea; Methanobacteriati; Methanobacteriota; Methanomicrobia; Methanocellales; Methanocellaceae. The record is from RNAcentral. RNAcentral also lists the same sequence under 1 other name.